UGCCCGAUGGUGUAACGGUAGCACCGCAGAUUCUGGAUCUGUUUGUCAAGGUUCGAAUCCUUGUCGGGCAGCCA
This 74-nucleotide transfer RNA is filed under the name Puniceicoccales bacterium. RNAcentral's name for it is "tRNA-Gln". It matches the Rfam family "tRNA". From Rfam's summary of the family: Transfer RNA (tRNA) molecules are approximately 80 nucleotides in length. The record is from RNAcentral. Lineage: Bacteria; Pseudomonadati; Verrucomicrobiota; Opitutia; Puniceicoccales.